RNAcentral lists this long non-coding RNA (793 nucleotides) under Vigna radiata. RNAcentral describes it as "long non-coding RNA (VRAD_LNC012693)". The record is from RNAcentral. Lineage: Eukaryota; Viridiplantae; Streptophyta; Magnoliopsida; Fabales; Fabaceae.
GAUACACGAAGGGAUGACAUGGUGAUACAUCAAGGUCCUAUCACUCGAGGAAUGAUCAAGAAAAUACAACAAGAGUACUCGCCAAAAGGUUCAGUACUUUUUGCUAUCUUUGGAUGGAAAAUUGGAGAUCAAGGAGAUGCUACAAAGCUGCCAAAACAUGGAGAGGGGUAAAAGAGACCUUUAUACACAUGCAAGGGUGAGAUUAGCUUGAUAGGGGGUGCACCGGGAACUUUCUUAUAUUAGAAAUAGAAAUAAACGUGUAAUACAUGUAGUUUCUAGAAGCUUAGCACAUUUAGCCCAUGUUUAGAAAUGUGGAAACGUGAUCCAUCUUAGAUGAGCACGUUUUCAUCACUGGCCAAAGGAUGAGGAGUCUAUAAAACUCACCUCUGCUGCACCAUGUAAUCACUUUUGGAUGAUCAUAGAAAAAAUCUGCUGAAAUGCUUAGUCAUUUGCUCCUUUCCAAGAGUCCUUCCAUAGCUUGUUUCUCCAUUGCAACUUUCUUCCUCUUGUGGAAGCCUUCUGAGUUGUAAACACCUCUUCAAGCUAGCCUCCGUUCCAAUCCAUCUUGCUAAACAUCUUCCUCCGCUGCCACCAUGCCAAACACAACAUUCCAGAUCUGGUCUCUGCACUGAUUCAACGUUGAUUCACCACCCGGUACUGUUCCAUUGAUUUCCUUCGGUUGAAUCACCUCCACUUGGUUCUUCUCUCACGGAUCUUCAAGAGGACAUCAAGCCAUGAUGUAUCACAACACAAACUCUAUAUCAAACUAGUUUUUGAUGAUGACAACACAAUG